UGUCUACCACAUAUGCCUCACCUGAUGGACCUGAUUCCUCCAGAAUCUAAUUCACCUGCCGUUGAACAUUUUAUCCACAUCGAGGACCCUAACAUCGAGAGUUUGUGCGAGACUAUUGUUAGUAUUACUGAUUAACAUAUCAACGACGAGGCAGCCUCUGUGAUUUUACAUAAGGCCGAUGAGGGUUUGGCAGAGUAGGGGGUACUACCGAAGGAGCUUUCUACAAGCAUGAUGGUAUUGACUUGCGAGACCACUGGAGGUGGCAUUUGUGACGUAUACCUAGUUGGAACGAGCACACAUUUCUCAAGUAACUUCUUGAUUUUCAAUUGUGAUAAAUUGUCUUGUAUUUGUGGCAUUUGGUUCUUGAAAUUUUGGAGGAUAUUAGAGAAAAAGUAUCUAUUAUAGUGAGAACUUUUAACCCUUUUGGAAUUUACUUGAUUGGGGAAUUUGAGUUAGAACUAAAGUAGAUCGCAUGUAUGGAUGCAGGAAUCGUGGAGAGAAGUUCAAGCUAUAAUUAGUUAUUUGAAACCUCAGAGUUGAAUUUUCACAAUGAAAAGAGAAGUGUUCCAUUUUUUACUCCACCUUAGACCCAACCCAUCGUUAAUCAACCUGUUGCAACUUAUGAGGAUGUUGCUAUUGAUGCCUCUCUUGAAUUUGAUGCUUCCUGCUUGAGGGACUUCCUCCAUGUCUUUCUUUGAGGGAAUUGAGAUGUAGAAAGAAGAAACCAUGUCUUUCUUUGAGGCAAUUAAGAUGUGGAAAGAAGAAACUAUUCUCAAGGUUUUCUAAUUGAUUUUCCUAUGUUCUUCUAAUAAUGUUUGGUUUUGUUUGGAGGUCAUAAUUUGCUCUUUAUUGGUUUUUUUCCUUUUCCUCAAAAAGAAUUUGCUAAACAAUAUGAGAUUGUUGUGAAUUCUCAUGGCGAACGUAAGUAAAAUGGUUAUUUGAAGUCUUUAAUAAUAAUUUCGACUUUUUAGCUAAAAGGUAUAUUGCCUUGUUUGACAAUUCUUUUGGUUCAAUUCGGAUAAUUUAAAUUUUUAGCUAAAUAAUCAAAAUGAAUAGGAUAAAAGGAAAAUGGAAAAUGGAGAUAGUUAAGAAAUUGUUAAUGUUUUGUGUUUAUCUUUAUCUUUUUUUUUUUUUUAUGGUUUUGCAGUAUUGGUUGAUGUUGAUUAUGACCCACUGAUUCUCAAAGAACAGAUAACAGAACUAGUGGGGCUCAAAUUUAUUGAUUCAUUGUUUAUGCAAAUGGAGAAUUUGAAUGAACUGAAUGUUUUUGUUAUCUUGACCUUUUUUCUCUAGGAAUUAAUAUGCUUCAAUCUAUACGAUGGGAAAGGAAUCUCCAUUUUGUUUGUUGUUUGGAUUUCUUUUCUCAUACUUCAAGUUGUGAAGAUCUCUUUGCAGGAUCAUACUAAUGUUGGAAGAAUAGUCAAAUUGCUACAAGCACUAUAAUGACAAUCUUCACAAAAGACUGAUGUUUUUGGAUUUGGCAUAUUGGUUCUUGAACUCUUGAUAGGGCAAAAAGCACUUGAUGCUUUCAAUGGUCAAAUUCGAAAGGGAAUGAUCCUCGAAUGGGUAAGUCUCUUUUUUAUAGCAUCUGCUCUAUUAGAAUAUAUGUGAAACUUUUUCAGUAGGCUCAUUAAUUUAGUAUUUCGAUGUAGCUUAUUCUAAUGACUUACCUACAAAUAGUACAAAGGAAGACUAAUGCUCAUAAAAACUCAGAAGACUAAUGCUCGAACAGAGGAAUGAUUGAAGACAUAUCGAGUUGAAAGUGAAGUGAUUGUGUAAAUAGCCAGGCUAUUGUUGAAGGUUGAAGACUGAAUAGACGUUUAGAAUUUCUUGUUAAAGUCUUGUAUUAAGAUCUUGUUUCAUGUACUACUGUAGAAUGUAUAUAUAAAUACAAUAUUAAGAUUUUAUUUUGUGUAUACAAAUGUAAAAGACAAAUAUUAUAGUUUCUAAAAUAAUGUUAAUUUUAUUGA
Cucumis melo (muskmelon) is the source of this 1970-nucleotide long non-coding RNA. RefSeq lists it as uncharacterized. The transcript is spliced from 5 exons. Lineage: Eukaryota; Viridiplantae; Streptophyta; Magnoliopsida; Cucurbitales; Cucurbitaceae. The record is from RefSeq and is a predicted model, not a curated record.